Molecule: ribosomal RNA, 232 nt
Filed under: uncultured bacterium
Lineage: Bacteria
Description: partial 16S ribosomal RNA
Rfam family: Bacterial small subunit ribosomal RNA
Source: RNAcentral
UACGUAGGGUGCAAGCGUUGUCCGGAAUUAUUGGGCGUAAAGAGCUCGUAGGCGGUCUGUCGCGUCUGCUGUGAAAUCUCAGGGCUUAACCCUGAGCUUGCAGUGGGUACGGGCAGACUAGAGUGCGGUAGGGGAGACUGGAAUUCCUGGUGUAGCGGUGAAAUGCGCAGAUAUCAGGAGGAACACCGGUGGGCGAAGGCGGGUCUCUGGGCCGAUACUGACGCUGGAGGAG